CCCAAAGAACAGCACAUUUCAGGGCUUUACGAUAGUUCCCCAACCCAACCAAGAACAGCAGCAGGUGCCUUCUCUCAUCUCUGGCCCACUUUGGGUCUUGAUUUGCCCCUCAGUAGUGUCAGGCUAGCUAGGAGCAGAGAAACCCAUCAACAGAGAUGGACGCUAUCCCAUGACCGCUUGGACACCCAAGGACUGGCCCAGGUUAGCUAAAGGGAGCGUCCACAGGAAAGGAAUCACGGUCCCUUGAGGGCACACCCUCCAUUCUUCCAUGCUUUGCUCCAGCUUCAUAAUGAAGCAGCAGCUCUCCUGGCAGUGUCAGCGCCUCUGCUUACGCCUUGGAUCCAUGCUUUCUCCAGUCGUGGCCCUUCCGCCUCCCAAGCCUUCACUGCUGCUUAAGAGCAGCCACUCGGCUACAAACCUGGUAGUUGGAAAACACGGGCUGCCCCUGCCGCUCCUUUGGGACAGAUCAGGACACAUGUGUGGUCUGGCCGGACCGUGCUUGCGUCUCCUGGUUUCCGCACUCUGUCCUGCCUCCGCCCUAGAACCCCGGUGCCCCUCCGACAUGGCUGCUGUUCGCCCCAUGGCUUUGUGUCUGGUGGAUAGUCUUCGAGGACCAAGAUGGCCUCGCUCUCGUGCCCGCAGGGAUCCUGAAAGCGGAAUGGGCCGGAACUGGACAAGAUCCGUCCCACAGAGGGGCUGGCUCACGCCCACCACAUAGGAAAUAAACGGAGAGCCAAAAGGAACA
RNAcentral lists this long non-coding RNA (745 nucleotides) under Monodelphis domestica (gray short-tailed opossum). RNAcentral's name for it is "lncRNA (ENSMODG00000030742.2)". Lineage: Eukaryota; Metazoa; Chordata; Mammalia; Didelphimorphia; Didelphidae. The record is from RNAcentral.